AUUGAACGCUGGCGGCAUGCUUUACACAUGCAAGUCGAACGGCAGCACAGGGAGCUUGCUCCCGGGUGGCGAGUGGCGCACGGGUGAGUAAUACAUCGGAACGUGUCCUGUUGUGGGGGAUAACUGCUCGAAAGGGUGGCUAAUACCGCAUGAGACCUGAGGGUGAAAGCGGGGGAUCGCAAGACCUCGCGCAAUUGGAGCGGCCGAUGCCCGAUUAGCUAGUUGGUGAGGUAAAGGCUCACCAAGGCGACGAUCGGUAGCUGGUCUGAGAGGACGACCAGCCACACUGGGACUGAGACACGGCCCAGACUCCUACGGGAGGCAGCAGUGGGGAAUUUUGGACAAUGGGGGCAACCCUGAUCCAGCCAUGCCGCGUGCAGGAUGAAGGCCUUCGGUUGUAAACUGCUUUGUCAGGGACGAAAGGAUCGUGAUAAUACCAUGGUCUGCUGACGGUACCUGAAGAAUAAGCACCGGCUAAC
RNAcentral lists this ribosomal RNA (479 nucleotides) under uncultured bacterium. Its description in RNAcentral is "bacterial SSU rRNA". It matches the Rfam family "Bacterial small subunit ribosomal RNA", at positions 30 to 501 of the family's 1533-position model. The record is from RNAcentral.